Molecule: ribosomal RNA, 253 nt
Filed under: uncultured bacterium
Lineage: Bacteria
Description: partial 16S ribosomal RNA
Rfam family: Bacterial small subunit ribosomal RNA
Source: RNAcentral
CACGUAGGGCGCGAGCGUUGUCCGGAAUUAUUGGGCGUAAAGAGCUCGUAGGCGGCCUGUUGCGUCCGCUGUGAAAGCCCGGGGCUUAACCCCGGGUCGGCAGUGGAUACGGGCAGGCUAGAGGUAGGUAGGGGAGAAUGGAAUUCCCGGUGUAGCGGUGAAAUGCGCAGAUAUCGGGAGGAACACCGGUGGCGAAGGCGGCCUGCUGGGCAGUAGCUGACGCUGAGGCGCGACAGCGUGGGGAGCAAACAGG